Small nuclear RNA from Callithrix jacchus (white-tufted-ear marmoset), 62 nucleotides. Its record names the gene U7. It matches the Rfam family "U7 small nuclear RNA". From Rfam's summary of the family: Animal histone pre-mRNAs are spliced by a different mechanism than nuclear pre-mRNAs and self-splicing introns. This processing involves the U7 snRNP, which contains only one RNA species: U7. The record is from Ensembl. Lineage: Eukaryota; Metazoa; Chordata; Mammalia; Primates; Cebidae.
UGGUGUUACAGCUCUUUUAGAAUUUGUCUAGCAGGCUGUCCGGGUUUUGCUGGAAAGCCCCU